CAACAAUGCAAAACACAACUUUCCCCAAUGUUGUAAAUUCCCCUUUCCUGGCUGUGCAAUCUUUUAAUUCCACUCCAGAUUGAAAGGCAGGGAUGCAGUUGGUUCUGUGGCUGGUGUGGGUUUGGCUCCAUUUCCAGGAUCUCUCUUUGUGGCCACUAUUUCUCAGCCCUGUGGUCUCCUUACCUUGGGGAGCAGCCCAGUAUUAGCAGCAAUACGAUAACCAUGUCGGAUAUGUUGAUAGGGCGGGCUUCCUGCUUUCUGGGCAGCAGCAGCAGCAUGGCAGGGAGUGUUGUGGUUACAGAGUUCAGUUCCAGCACAGGUUUCUGGUAUCAAUGCCAUCUGGCAAGAGAGAGUGACCUGCUUCUUUUGUCUACCUCACUGCCAUGGCACACCAGCUGAGCCUAUUUCUGGCUCCCAUGGUUCGUGAAUGGGUCAUGGCUCGAGACAUCUGUCUGACUUGAGGAAGAGCACCAAAUGGCAUCCCGGCCCAAAAUCAAGGGACAUCCUGUUAUAAGCUGAUCAAGUUGACAUUUGUGGCCCUUUUAUGACACCCAACAUUUGCUGUGCAAGAUGAGAGCUGUAUCACAUCUGAUAGAGGACCAGCUCUAAGUCGUCUCUCAUAGACCACCUCAUUUCAUUUCCUGUAUCCUCCAUUCCCUUCUUAAACAGACAAUAUUCAAUGCAGGCCCAGCAUACUUAGUCAUCAUCGGGUUGUUCGUAGGUGUCCUUUAUGUUUGUUUCCUAGAUUUUCUAUCGUUACAAGUCCUAGAGUUCUGCCAUACGCAUUGCUAUCACCCUCCUGUUCUUCAACAGUCCACUGCAAAAUAUACAUGCACAUAAUUAAUGAAGCUUAAGAGGGUCUGGCUACAGUGGCACAUGCCUUAGUUACAUCCCAUUUGGAUUACUGUAGCACGCUCUGUGUGGGGCUGCCUUUGAAGAUGGUUUGGAAACCUCAGCUGGUGCAAAACUCUGCAGCCAGACUACUGACUGGAGCUAGCGCACCUUUUACAAGAACUGCACUGGCUACCAGUCUGUUUCUGGGCCCAAUUCAAAGUGCUGGUCAUUACCUAUAAAGUCCUGUACAGCUUGGGUCCAGGGUACCUGAAGGGCCGUAUCUCCCUAUAUGCGCCUUCUCAGCGAUUAAGAUCAGCAGAGGAGGCCCUCCUCUCGGUCCCAUUGCCAGCAUAAGCACAGCUGAUGGGGGACACAGGAGAGGGCCUUCUCUGUGGUGGCUCCCAGGCUAUGGAAUGCUCUCCCUCGGGAGAUCAAGAUGGCCCCUUCCCUGUUACCCUUUUUUUUCCUUCAGAAAAAAAAGCUAAAGACCUAUCUCUUCAGGCAUGCUAUUAACAAUUACAGCUGAAUCUCUGAACCCCAUCUUAGCAGAUAAUUUCAAUCUUUCUAAUGUCUUCAUGUUUUAGUCAUUGGUAUUUAAAUGCAAGGCUUGUCUAAAUUUAAAUGCAAGCAGCUUUGUAUACUUUCAGUUUGGUCUUUGAGAGCUAAACCAGAAUAGCAGGAAGUCAAUGCAAUGCAAAUAUCCUAAGAAACAAAGCAAGGGCAACAACAAGCGUGAUACUUGCUACAAAUGGCACACCCUGCUGUAGCUCUGCAGUUGCCACCACUUAAGCCCACUGUAAGAGGUACUAGAUUUGAAUGUUGAAACUUUGAAGGCAUCUCCUGUCUGAAGCAAUAUUGUUCAUCCAUUAGACCAGGGAUGGGCAACUUCUGUUUCCCCAAAGCACUCAUUCACUCAGGAGUUAAGCUGUCCAGGGCUGCAUCUGGAGGGCCCAAAGGCAGGGUUUAAACUAGCACUGGGCAAGACCCCCUUCUCUCUCUCUCUCUCUCUCUCUCUCUCGUUGCAUAUGAAGUGUGAAGACCAAAGACAUUUAAACAACAAAGAGCUAUGUAGGUAGUUCACCAGCACUUCUGUUUCCCAAAUUGGGUGGUCCCUGGAGAAGGCUAACCAGCUGGACAAUAAAGACAGCCAUCUUGGAUUUGGCUGCA
Long non-coding RNA from Pogona vitticeps (central bearded dragon), 2001 nucleotides. The record is from Ensembl. Lineage: Eukaryota; Metazoa; Chordata; Lepidosauria; Squamata; Agamidae.